AGAACCGUGGGGAGCCGAGCUCCGUCUUACCAAGCUCACUGAGUACUGCAGCCCGGAGCCUCCCUGUAUACGGGCACCCCUGAAUCCGGCGCUGCCUCCCUAUGAUACUGCGAUUUAAAUCGAAUGCGACUCGAUUAUUGUACAGUACCUACGACACGGCACUCGAUUCGUUUUCUUAGGGACUCGCAUAGUUCGUAUACAAGAAACCGUUCAGAUAGAAUUGAAAUCGUUUUAUUUUACCAAGCCGUAAGCCGAAUAUUUUAUCGUUUCGCGGUGUGUGUGUGUGUGUGUGUGUGUAUAAAUU
This is a non-coding RNA of Cinara cedri, 304 nucleotides long. The record is from the annotation of a GenBank genome assembly. Lineage: Eukaryota; Metazoa; Arthropoda; Insecta; Hemiptera; Aphididae.